UUCAAGUUUAAAAGAUAAUCAAACCCUAUAUGAAGAGUGGUUCAAUUACGCAGAUGCAGAUGGGGAUGGUCGUUUCACAGGCGCUGAAGCGAUCAAAUUUUUUGCUAUGUCAAACUUAUCACGACAAGAUUUGAAACAGGUAUGGGCCAUUGCAGAUUCAAAACGAGAAGGAUAUUUAGGUUUCAGAGAAUUUGUGACUGCUAUGCAG
RNAcentral lists this small RNA (208 nucleotides) under Vigna angularis var. angularis. Its description in RNAcentral is "Non-protein coding transcript". The record is from RNAcentral. Lineage: Eukaryota; Viridiplantae; Streptophyta; Magnoliopsida; Fabales; Fabaceae.